Molecule: transfer RNA, 77 nt
Filed under: Chromatiaceae bacterium
Lineage: Bacteria; Pseudomonadati; Pseudomonadota; Gammaproteobacteria; Chromatiales; Chromatiaceae
Also listed under: 1 other name
Description: tRNA-Met
Rfam family: tRNA
About the family: Transfer RNA (tRNA) molecules are approximately 80 nucleotides in length.
Source: RNAcentral
GGGCCCUUAGCUCAGUUGGUUAGAGCAGUGGACUCAUAAUCCAUUGGUCGAAGGUUCGAGUCCUUCAGGGCCCACCA